Molecule: ribosomal RNA, 420 nt
Filed under: uncultured bacterium
Lineage: Bacteria
Description: bacterial SSU rRNA
Rfam family: Bacterial small subunit ribosomal RNA
Source: RNAcentral
GAAUAUUGGGCAAUGGACGCAAGUCCGACCCAGCCAUGCCGCGUGAAGGAUGAAGGUCCUCUGGAUUGUAAACUUCUUUUUUCUGGGGCGAAAACUGGUUUUUCUAGAUCAUUUGACAGUACCAGAAGAAUAAGCACCGGCUAACUCCGUGCCAGCAGCCGCGGUAAUACGGAGGGUGCAAGCGUUAUCCGGAUUCACUGGGUUUAAAGGGUGCGUAGGUGGGCAGGUAAGUCAGUGGUGAAAUCCCCGAGCUUAACUUGGGAACUGCCGUUGAUACUAUCUGUCUUGAAUAUCGUGGAGGUAAGCGGAAUAUGUCAUGUAGCGGUGAAAUGCUUAGAGAUGACAUAGAACACCAAUUGCGAAGGCAGCUUGCUACACGGUAAUUGACACUGAGGCACGAAAGCGUGGGGAGCAAACAGG